GGGGGUGUAGCUCAGCCGGGAGAGCGCUUGCUUCGCAUGCAAGAGGUCGGCGGUUCGAUCCCGCUCACCUCCA
This 73-nucleotide transfer RNA is filed under the name Spirochaetes bacterium DG_61. Its description in RNAcentral is "tRNA-Ala". It matches the Rfam family "tRNA". Rfam says of the family: Transfer RNA (tRNA) molecules are approximately 80 nucleotides in length. Their secondary structure includes four short double-helical elements and three loops (D, anti-codon, and T loops). Further hydrogen bonds mediate the characteristic L-shaped molecular structure. tRNAs have two regions of fundamental functional importance: the anti-codon, which is responsible for specific mRNA codon recognition, and the 3' end, to which the tRNAs corresponding amino acid is attached (by aminoacyl-tRNA synthetases). tRNAs cope with the degeneracy of the genetic code in two manners: having more than one tRNA (with a specific anti-codon) for a particular amino acid; and 'wobble' base-pairing, i.e. permitting non-standard base-pairing at the 3rd anti-codon position. Lineage: Bacteria; Pseudomonadati; Spirochaetota. The record is from RNAcentral. RNAcentral also lists the same sequence under 2 other names.